CGUCUUUCUUGUGGAAGGAGAUUUUUAUGUCCGCGCGGCCGUAGUCCAGCUCUCUGAAGGUCAGAGCUGCCACAUCGCUCCAGUACUUGAAGGCAGAACGAAUGGCUGCCUUGACGUCUGCCUGCUUCAUGUCAGGGUCUGCCAGGCCACAGCGAGGCUGUCGCAUCACGUCCAGCGUGGCUUCAUCUAAUUCUCCAGUAGGUGGCAGGUCAUUCACCUUCUGAAACACCCUGCAGAGCGACCAGGAGUCAGUAGUAACAUUUCAACCACUUCUGUGGAGGUCUAGUGUGUACUGUGACUUUCUGUGUGUGUUGUGAGUUCCCUGGUCCUGACCUGAGAGCACUAAUGACCUCUUCCAGGUAGUGAGGGUCCUGUUGGACAGCGCUGUUGUCAAGGAUGAAUUUUCGUACCUCAGCUUCUAUCAGCUCUGUCCACUGCACCACCGCUGCACUGAAGGCUCCCUUGAGGUUGAGCACCAGCAGCAGUACCAGCAGCUCUGCACAGUCCAUGAGAUCCACCUACUGUAUCCACUGGGUAUUUGUGUGUUUAAACCACAGCGGGUUUAUCUCCACGCCCUUCAUCUUCAAAUUCCGGAUAUCCCACAGUUGUGUUGCUUUGAUUGCAAAAACAUCUGUUAUAGUCUAAC
Molecule: long non-coding RNA, 646 nt
Organism: Cynoglossus semilaevis (tongue sole)
Lineage: Eukaryota; Metazoa; Chordata; Actinopteri; Pleuronectiformes; Cynoglossidae
Exons: 4
Source: RefSeq, a predicted model, not a curated record